Molecule: long non-coding RNA, 350 nt
Organism: Patella vulgata (common limpet)
Lineage: Eukaryota; Metazoa; Mollusca; Gastropoda; Patellidae
Exons: 2
Source: RefSeq, a predicted model, not a curated record
CUGGUGUAUAUCUGUACUAACCAGAGUCGAUAUUACAGACAUAAUAUUGCUGACAGUAAAGAUGAUGAAGAGUUACGUUCAACUGCUAUUGGUGGUAAUGAUACUAUCAUGCAUUGCAGAAGGAUUUAUUGAUAUCAUAAUUAAGCCCAAAAAUAAGGCUCUCAAACAAGUAAGCAGUAGUCAAGACAAGACAAAUUUAGCGAGGAGCCAUUUGACUGAUCGGACACUGCGUGAUGAUGAUGAUGAUGAUGAUGAAGAGUAUGGGAGAUCUGCUAAUGAUGAGCUUGAACCUUAAAAUCAUUUUGCCAAGCCAUAUUAAAUAGAAUAAAAUAGCGUUAAACCAAAUUUCA